This 253-nucleotide ribosomal RNA is filed under the name uncultured bacterium. RNAcentral's name for it is "partial 16S ribosomal RNA". It matches the Rfam family "Bacterial small subunit ribosomal RNA", at positions 524 to 776 of the family's 1533-position model. The record is from RNAcentral.
UACAGAGGUCCCAAGCGUUGUUCGGAUUCACUGGGCGUAAAGGGUGCGUAGGUGGUCGGGUAAGUCUGAUGUGAAAUCUCCGGGCUUAACCCGGAAACUGCAUCGGAUACUAUUCGGCUAGAGGGUUGGAGGGGGGACUGGAAUACUUGGUGUAGCAGUGAAAUGCGUAGAUAUCAAGUGGAACACCAGUGGCGAAGGCGAGUCCCUGGACAACUCCUGACACUGAGGCACGAAAGCUAGGGGAGCAAACAGG